Mustela erminea (ermine) is the source of this 1868-nucleotide long non-coding RNA. RefSeq lists it as uncharacterized. NCBI's taxonomy places the organism in Eukaryota, Metazoa, Chordata, Mammalia, Carnivora, Mustelidae. The record is from RefSeq and is a predicted model, not a curated record. The transcript has 3 exons.
UGCUUUCUGUGGGGGUCUUCGCGGAGAAAGCCCUCCAUUGGUUUUCUCUGGUUUCCCAGAGAGCAGGGCUUUCUCUUUUGGGAGAUAAGACUGGAGAACUGCAGAUCGUGGGGAGGUUCUUACUUUGAGAUUCCUGAGCCUCUCAGUGGAGGUUUGGUAUGGGCCCCACCAAAAUAUGUCCGCUCUCCCUGGCCUCCAGUGGGCUGAGAGCAGCUGAGUGGCCUGAAUGUUUCCUGCUCCUGGAGAAGGAGAAAAUUCAGGAAGACCACAUACAAAGAAGCUUCCUGCAAACUUCCUCCAAGGAAUUCACAGCCUGCUUGCUUCACCUUCCAUCCUUGGCAUUUCUGAUGUCUCCUAUUAAUUGCAGCAUUGUUCUUAGUGUCAAACAACUGGAAGCAAAGUGAACGUAGCUUGGAGGGGGAUGGCUGCACAAAUAAUGGCACAUCCACACCCUGGGAGAUGAGCAGCCACUUCAGGGAAAGGAAGAACUCGGUGCAUGUCUGUGAGUGCUGACAUCCACUCUCCUAGGCCAGUCACGGGGCAAGGCGGGGGUGCUUGAGCUUGUCCAUUCCUGCCUGAUGUGGGAGUCCUCUAACAGGAAACAUUACCUUAGGGACACUCCAUCAGUGUAACUGAGGUUUUCUCAGGAUUGAACUGCAAUCUGAGGUUCAUCUUUCGUUCCUCUCACAGUUAUUAGUCCCAAGUCUUGGUCAAAAGGCCCUCUCUGCCAACGCCUGCUUCUUUACCUUUAUUCUUCACAGGCAUUUCCCCCAGUGAGUCUCUUGUGUUUAGUUCAACUUGCAUCUGUUUCUUGGAGGACCUGAACUGAUAAAAUCUGCUGUGAUGCAACGAGGGGGAAAAAUCACUUCUAUGAUAUUUCUGCCAAAAAAUACAUGAUCUGAAUCUCUUCAUGAGGAAACACCAGACAAAUCCAACGAGGUACCUUGUAAAAACAAAUGGCCUCUAGUCCCCAAAACUGUCAAGAUAUGAUUUAAAAAAGACUGAAAACUGUUCCAGGUGGAAGGAGAUGAGAUAGCUAAAUGCAUGUGUGAUCCUGUAUUGAAUUGCUACAAAGGACAUUAUUAAGAUAAGUGGAAAACUGGUUCUUUUUAUUAGAUGGUGAUCACCAUCUUGAUGGCACAAGACGAAAUGCUCACCGGAGAAUUCGGGGAUAAUGAAUGGAUCAUCAUGUUCGAGACUGGGUUCAGAAGAUAAAGGUCUUUGCACUAUUUCUGCAACUUGCCUAUAGAUUUGAAAUUCUCAUCUUUCAAGAAGUAAAUGUAGAAUAUGGAGAAUGGACUCGGGAGCUGAGAAGGAAAGUCACAAAUCGGAAGGCUGUCGAAGAUGUCCAGCUAACCAUGAGUGGGCCAGCAGGUUUGAUAAGCAAAGAGAGACUCAAGGUAGAUUUAAAUGAUCAAAUUCACCAAAAUUCACCAGACUCACUGAUGAAUUGGAUCUGGAGGCAUAAUUCCCUGACGAUUAAUCCAGAUUGCCAAUAAUUAGAAAGAAUUCAGCUUUACUGGUAAUUAAGGAAACAUAAAUGAAGAUGAUGAUGAUGAUACUGUUCUGUUAAACCAACAAAGCUUAAAAAGCACAAAAAGAAAAACAUCCAAUGUAUGCAAAAUUGGAAGAAAAUGGAUGCUUUCAUAAAAACAGUAACAGCUAAUAUUGAUUGCCUAUUACAUGCUUUGCAAGAUUCUAAGCAUUUUACCUAUGUCAAUUUAUCUAAGCACAACUCUGUGAGGUAAAAAUGUUGCCGAUACGAGCUGAAUAUUACUGUCAUCAUUAUCCAUAUAACUGGGCAGUUAUACUGACAAUGCAGCCCAUAUGAACCCAUCAAAAAAAAAAAAAGCCACUGAAAUGUUUGU